RNAcentral lists this long non-coding RNA (2863 nucleotides) under Homo sapiens (human). RNAcentral's name for it is "HSALNT0143654". The record is from RNAcentral. Lineage: Eukaryota; Metazoa; Chordata; Mammalia; Primates; Hominidae.
UUGUUUCCCCUUCCACCAUGAUUGUAAGUUAUCUGAGGCCUCCCAGACCAGCAGAACUGUGAAUCAAUUAACCUCUUUCCUUUAUAAAUUACCCAGUCUCAUAUAUUUCUUCAUAGCAUCAUGAGAAUGGACUAAUACAGCCCCCUCCUUUUUCUUGCAUCCCCUCCAGCUCCAUCCUUCCCCUGGUGGUCUCCCAGAGUGUCAACCUCAGGAGAACUUAGUUGGAACCAAAAGCUUCCACCUCCCAGCCUCCUUAAACCUCACCUUUCUCCUCUACAUCAGUCCCAAACUAGAGGCUGAGCUACUUGCUAAGGGUCAUACACUUUUCAUCCACACUCCCAUCUCCAUUCUCCCACCAGUUCCUGUUCACAACCAAGUCCCCUUCUCCUUUCCCAGUCUUCCUCUUGCAUGCUCCACUAGCUAGCAGAAGUUUGAGGAAGUAUUUAUGUGCAAUGUACAAAGUGAGUUCCAGUUCCCUGACGGCCAGCUUUAUUUUUAGCAGCCCUCCAGGCUCCUGCAUGUCUCUUUCGAGCUCCUUGGCUUCCCGGUCUUUUCAGCAGGAGCAGAGAUGUGCCUGGAUACAAAUAAGAUACACACUCUGAGUCUUUUUUACCUAAAUAUUUGCAGCUCCCAACCAGCAAGUCUAAUAGUCCAGCCUUCUCUCUGUGAACCUAUUUUGUCUUCCCCACUCCUCAACUGCUUGUUUUUCCAGUUUUUGGAUUACUGCCAGGAGCAAUCAUUUCCCUUUCCCCACAAAGGAGCAGAGAGAUGCUUCCCUUUCCAAAUACAGAGACACUGGAGCAGGAGGGGCUGCAGAACCAUAUUUGGCAAUGGAUCUCGGCUACGCUCCUGCAGGACAAGGAAAAUCCAAGAGAGGAGACCCAAAAAUAAUAAUAAUAAAUAAAUAACAACAACAACAACAAAAAAACCUCACACAGGAGAAAAGGUUUAAGGCUUUAAGGACAAACAUGUUGCUUAGAACCUAGGGGUUGGGCCUUAUAAGUCCCCUUAACCCCAGCCAGGUAGCUGAAAACUGACAUGGCUAAGCCCAAAACACAAUAGACACAGCUCUGCUGUCCCCACUGUGUAUGUGAGGGUCAGUCCACUGGGGCUGUAGGUAAGCCCGUGGCUCUGGAGUACCUGCCAGACUUGUGCCCUUAACCUUCAUUCAAGGUACACAACCUGUCUGAGCCUGUUUUCUCAUCUGCAAAAUGAGAUAAUUAAUGAUGCCUUCCUUGCAGGUUUCCUGUGAGCAUUCAAUAUGAUGAUUACAGAAGGUACUUAUCACUGAGCACUGCUCCAUCCACUGCCAGCGCUUAGUAAGGGGUUGUUGUUAUGAUUUUCAUUUUUUACAUUCAUUUGCUACAAAAACCCUGGAAACUCUUCCCAAGAAAUGGGAACUCCUGAAUAGGAUGAUUGGCUUCUCCUUUUUUUUUUCUUGGCAGCCCCAGAACUUAGCAUAGCAUAGUAUCGUACACUCAAUGUUGGCUGAAGAUGAAAAGGCAGAAGAUACCAUUCCUAGUUCAUAGAUCAGGUCUAAGGAAUAAGGGAACCCCAGUUUGUAUGCCUCCAGCCCCUGUCUUUUCACUAAGCCAUGCUUAUCCUGAGCUGUCUCACUUACAAAAAUGAUUUGUAGAGACAGGUAAAGUUAUAACAGGUGUUUGUCUGAGGGAUCAAGAGGGCUGGGGGUGCUUCCAUUUCAGACCAGAAACAGGCAGGUGCCAGCUGGUGAUUUCUUGUCCUACACAGGUGUUCUGCAUUGCCAGUUCUACCCCUUGGAAUGUCUCAGCUGGACAUUCACCUACUCAUUCAUUCACUCGUUCUUUCACUCAUUCAUUCAUCAAGGAGUGAUUGCAAACCUGGGAGCAGAGGAGACAAAAGGCAAUGAGACAUGGGCUGUACCUUCUUGAAGCUCACAGUCUACCAACAGACACAGCCUGUAAAUAAGCAAUUGCUGCAUACAGAGAUGAAGGUUUUAAAGAAGGUUUGCUUGUGGUCCAACUAGAGAUGGUGGAGUAAGAGGUCAGAACUACUUUGGGGGCAAGAACAGGGGUCGGUGAGGACUUUAUCCAGAAGUAAAGGCUGGAGCUGGCUGGGACCUCAUUGAGUGAACAGGAUGAAGAAGACAUUACCAGCUGAGAAAACAGACAAAGGCACAGAGGCAUGGCUGAGAAGAAAGCAUUAAGAAGACCACAAACAGCCAGGUGUGAUGGUGCAUGUCUGUAGUCCCAGCUACUCAGGAAGCUGAGGCCAGAGGAUUACUUGAGCCCAGGAGUUUUAGGCUACAGUGAGCAACAAUUACACCACUGCACUCCAGCCUGAGCAACAGGGCAAGACUCUGUCUCAAAAAACAAAUAAACAAACAAAAGAAACAAACAACUGGGAAUGCCAUACACCUGGGAAGAGUUAGGAGCAAUGCAGCUGGAGAAGGCAGCAGAAACAGGCUGAGCAAGCCUCAUGGGCUUUAUCCUGAAGGCAGCUGUGGACCACUGAAGAUUUUCAGGCAGGGAAAUGAUACGACAGAUUUGCAUUUUAGGAACAAGGUGAGCCUUUCUGAUCCAUGUAUGAACUCAUCAGGCCCACUUAAGUGAAGCUGUGCUCUAUGUUUUUCUUCUGACUCUCAGCAGCAUUUGUCACUGGAGGCCAUCUCCCUUUCUUUGUAUUCGGGGAUGGAGCGCGAGCUUGAUUCUCCUCCCACCUCUCAGAUCGUGUCUUCUCAGCAAGUUCCUGUUUCACCAGGAAUUUCCAAACAUGCAUGUCUCCCAGUUUUUCUGCCAAAAACUAACGGCCUUCAUUUUCUCUCUGCUCUGUCUCUUGGGAAUCUCAACCACACCUGCAGCUUCAACAUUUUUUUUUUUUUUUU